AGCGAACGCUGGCGGCAGGCCUAACACAUGCAAGUCGAACGCCCCUUCGGGGGAGUGGCGGACGGGUGAGUAACGCGUGGGAAUGUGCCCUUUGGUACGGAACAACUGAGGGAAACUUCAGCUAAUACCGUAUGUGCCCUUCGGGGGAAAGAUUUAUCGCCAUUGGAGCAGCCCGCGUUGGAUUAGGUAGUUGGUGGGGUAAAGGCCUACCAAGCCUACGAUCCAUAGCUGGUCUGAGAGGAUGAUCAGCCACACUGGGACUGAGACACGGCCCAGACUCCUACGGGAGGCAGCAGUGGGGAAUCUUGCGCAAUGGGCGAAAGCCUGACGCAGCCAUGCCGCGUGUAUGAUGAAGGUCUUAGGAUUGUAAAAUACUUUCACCGGGGAAGAUAAUGACGGUACCCGGAGAAGAAGCCCCGGCUAACUUCGUGC
This 432-nucleotide ribosomal RNA is filed under the name uncultured Alphaproteobacteria bacterium. Its description in RNAcentral is "bacterial SSU rRNA". It matches the Rfam family "Bacterial small subunit ribosomal RNA", at positions 29 to 508 of the family's 1533-position model. The record is from RNAcentral. Lineage: Bacteria; Pseudomonadati; Pseudomonadota; Alphaproteobacteria.